This 408-nucleotide ribosomal RNA is filed under the name uncultured bacterium. Its description in RNAcentral is "partial 16S ribosomal RNA". It matches the Rfam family "Bacterial small subunit ribosomal RNA", at positions 28 to 526 of the family's 1533-position model. The record is from RNAcentral.
GACGAACGCUGGCGGCGUGCCUAAUACAUGCAAGUCGACCUUAGUGGCGAACGGGUUAGUAACACGUGGGUAACCUGCCCAUAAGAAGGGGAUAAACCUUGGAAAAAGGUGCUAAUACCGUAUACUGAUGGAUGGACCCGCGGUGGAUUAGCUAGUUGGGGGGGUAACGGCUCACCAGGGCCCCGAUGCAUAGCCGGCCUGAGAGGGUGACCGGCCACAUUGGAACUGAGACACGGCCCAAACUCCUACGGGAGGCAGCAGUAGGGAAUCUUCGGCAAUGGGCGAAAGUCUGACCGAGCAACGCCGCGUGAGUGAAGAAGGUUUUCGGAUCGUAAAACUCUGUUGUUAGAGAAGCGGUAUCUAUCCAGGAAGCCACGGCUAACUACGUGCCAGCCGCCGCGGUAAUAC